UGAACGCAGCGACAGGCUAACACAUGCAAGUCGAGGGGCAGCACGGGAGUAGCAAUACAACUGGUGGCGACCGGCGCACGGGUGAGUAACGCGUAUGCAACCUACCUAUCAGAGGGGAAUAACCCGGCGAAAGUCGGACUAAUACCGCAUAAAACAGGGGCACCGCAUGGUGAUAUUUGUUAAAGAGAUUCGCUGAUAGAUGGGCAUGCGUUCCAUUAGGUAGUUGGUGAGGUAACGGCUCACCAAGCCGACGAUGGAUAGGGGAACUGAGAGGUUGGUCCCCCACACUGGUACUGAGACACGGACCAGACUCCUACGGGAGGCAGCAGUGAGGAAUAUUGGUCAAUGGGCGGGAGCCUGAACCAGCCAAGUCCGCGUGAAGGAAGAAGGAUCUAUGGUUCGUAAACUUCUUUUGCAGGGGAAUAAAGUGCAGGACGUGUCCUGUUUUGUAUGUACCCUGAGAAUAAGGAUCGGCUAACUCCGUGCCAGCCGCCGC
RNAcentral lists this ribosomal RNA (496 nucleotides) under uncultured bacterium. Its description in RNAcentral is "bacterial SSU rRNA". It matches the Rfam family "Bacterial small subunit ribosomal RNA", at positions 30 to 518 of the family's 1533-position model. The record is from RNAcentral.